AUGGGGCUCAUGGAAGGACGCCGGCCAGCAGCGGGCUUCUCACUCCUUACCUCCCUCCGUGGCUGGAGGCCACCCACUGGCCAGUCCCCACCAACCACCAAUCUAGGUCUGGCCAGAUGGCCCCUGGAAGCUCCAAGGCCUUCCCUCCCAGGCCUCUGCUCAGCGCCUCCCCUGAAACCCCCUCUGCCCGGCUCCCAGGAAAGCACAGCCUCCCCAGCCCCUGCCACCAGCGGUGUCUUCCCCGGCCCUUUGUGGGACCCCUCCACACACGUCUCGAGUGGCCCUGACACUUGGCCCUCACCUCCCCCCAUGCUCAUCCUAGGGAACCCCUCCACAGCCCUCCCCUUCCUGCACCAUCUCCAGCCCUGGCUUCUACUUCUUCCAGACUGCAACCCGGGAGGGCCACAGACACUGCUCUCAGCUGGUCCCAAACCACGCAGAUGCCCUGCCCAGAUCGCACCCAGCGGACGACGCUCUGGACGGUCUCUGCCUGCGGCCCCUCCUCUACCCUCACCAGUGCUGCCCAGCCCUGGUCAUGCUCAAAGAGCCAGGACCCUGCGCCACACCAGCCAGGCAGGGCAUCCUCAAGGCAGCCUUCAAAGUGCCCCUGCACCUCAGACUUGCUCACAGGUCCCCUCACCCAGAGAGCCAAGCCCCGGAGUUCUCAAGAGCCAGGGCUGCACCCCUCUCGUGCCAAUUCUACCAACCGCCGCCCCCCCACACUGCGUCCCCAGCCUGCAGAGCCCUCUGCCCAGCUCCCUCAGUUCCUGCCCCAGAGGACACAGGCAGCCCGCGGCGCACACCUUGAGAAUGACACGGUCUGCCUCGGAGCCCGCGGGUGCGUACAGGAUCUUGGGGUUGCUGGUCAUGAGGUGCACGAGGAGGCCCAGGUUCCGCUGCUCCUUGCUCGUGAAGCCUAGGGAGCUCAUGUUGCCCCUUCGCAACGCCUCAGGCUCGAUAGUGCUGGGGCAAGCAGGCGAGACUCGAGGUAGGACGGGGCAUCGGCAGGGAAGGGUGGGCGCGGGGCUUCCGAGUGGGUGCAGGUGUCAAACAAUUGGCAUGGAGUAG
RNAcentral lists this long non-coding RNA (1068 nucleotides) under Bos grunniens (domestic yak). Its description in RNAcentral is "lncRNA (ENSBGRG00000008724.1)". Lineage: Eukaryota; Metazoa; Chordata; Mammalia; Artiodactyla; Bovidae. The record is from RNAcentral.